This 5463-nucleotide long non-coding RNA is filed under the name Elaeis guineensis (African oil palm). RNAcentral's name for it is "long non-coding RNA (EGUI_LNC016450)". The record is from RNAcentral. Lineage: Eukaryota; Viridiplantae; Streptophyta; Magnoliopsida; Arecales; Arecaceae.
UUAAUAUGGAAAUUUAUUAAUUCAAUUGACCAAGCAAGUUAUAUCAGCUAUUUUUUUACAUUUUUGGUCGGCUUUAAUAAAAAUUUUUGCAAUAACUAUUGCACGCAGAAUAACUAACAAUAGUAACAUAAUGAUUUAUGUGCUUCAAUGGAUCAUGAUAGUAAUAAAUUGUCCUUGGUAGUUUGAUGCAAUCAGCACCACAUUAGAAUUCUCAUUGCUUUCUUCAAGCAAGUCUACCUUCAUAAUUAGCUGUAAGUUGAUGGUAAUGCACCUUUUGCAUAUUGCUACAUCUAAUUGAUGAGGAUCCUCAUGAUUGAAGAAAGAAUGGCUGUUAUAUUAUGGAAGCCAUCUGAUUUCCAUGUUCCAACACUUCCAUCGAACGAAAGUAAAAAACAUAUGCAUGGAGACACAAUGAGAUUGUGUUUUUCCCAACCUCUCUGAAAAGAAACCAUAAUGCUUCACUCCAUGGCUAUUCAUCAUGGCGGAAAAAAGUUGAUCUGGUUAUCUGGACCGGGACUUUCUAAUGCUAAGUUUUGGAAUGAAGAGAUGAGACCUACAGUUUUGGAGCAGCUAAAGAAUGGAAUCUCUCAAAUGAUUGGAUAAUCAUAGCAUGAUUAUGGUACUCCCAUAUCACAACAAGAUGGUAAAUUUUGUUAUUUCGAAGUUUGUAAUUUGUGUUGUCCAACCUCCUCAACUUCUUAUGAACCAGAAAAUAUCUCAGUGGUCACAAUCAAUUGGAUGAGGCACUGCAUCCAAAACUAAUUUUCUGCCUAGCAGGUCCUCCUGCAUUUACUUCUUUUUUUUAAUAAAAAACAAAACCCCUCAACUGCUUAAAUAUUUCUAUAAUGAUAUUGCUAUCAGCAUACUUUUCUGUACCUAAAGGUUAUUAUUCAAUAUUUAAAUAGUCUUAUAUACUACGACAAAUAGUUAAAGAUGAUGGAUGUUAUAUAUGCCUUCUGUGAAGUUCAUGUAGUUUUGAACCUGUUUGAGUGCUUAAUUACUUAUUAUUAUGGUAGCUUUUAGUACUGUAUUUAUGAAGAUGAUGGAUUAUUUUGUAUCUCAGUUCUGUGAAAUACUAUGCGUCAAUCUCUUGUACUCAAAGCUGAAUAAAUGUUACUAAAUUUUGCAUUAUCUAACAUUUCUGAGAUGAAAUGUUUCAGUCUAGAUAUUUCUCCUUGCAAAAGGAAAAAAUAUUUUUUUUUAACAUUUUUAUUGUUAACAAUGUUUCUCUUGCUAUUUGAACAGCUGAUAUAAAGCAAAUAGUCCAUGCAAAAUUUUGUAUCUUAAGCAGUUGAGGUUAAAUAGUGGUUGCCAAUCCUCAAAACAAGGUAGGUCUAGAAAUUUUCAACUUCUCAGUGUCACUAAAAACAUCACCGGUACUUCUAUAUUUUGGUUUCAGAAACUGUUGCCCAUGUUCUCAAGAAUCAAUGUCUGUAGCGGCUUUGUAGGUGCGCUAAUGUUUACACAUCAUGCGUUUGGACUGCAUGAGAACUCUAGCAGGUCAUUGGUUAAAAAACCCAGUCUAAUACAAAUGCCGGAGACUCAUGCCUGUGAAUUAACAUCCUCUUAUUUUUGGCCUAUUUUAAUUAAGAAGUGCUAUCGCUAUUUUAUGGACAUGUUUUAAUUUACCAGGUAUUAGUUCUGCAAAAUACCUCUUUAAAAGACUCAGCAUUUAUACUGGUGCAAGACGUACAAAUAUUUAGACUAGCAGGAGUCAUGUGCAAAUAAAGUUGAUGCUUUUAUUUUAUUAUGAAAAUUUUAAAUUGCCAUCUUGAUACUCUUUUUGAGUAGGCAUUCUUAAAAGGGUUCUAGAUGCAAGCCCUCUUAUUGACUAUACACUGUGUUAAAUGAGUUAUUUUUACCUACCAUAGUUUUUAAGGCUGAAAUCAAAGUAUACAAAUCUCUCCAUUAUCUCUGAAUGAUAUAAAGAAUUACAGGAAAGAGAAUCUGAAUGAUCAGCUUGACCUUACCCUUCCCUUAUGAUUCAAAAUGAUCAUCAGUGUCCUAAGAUGCCAGCUCUAUUGAAAAAACAAAAGGCAAGCCUCUAUUUUGGAUAUCUUGCUUCCCUUCAUGCUUCAGUCAGUGCUUAGUAUUGAGUUUUUCGUCAUAGUCAACAUCCCCUCAAAGUGGGUGGCGUCAGUUGCUACCUUGAUCCCUGCAGUAGGAAGACUGAUUUUCACUAGUCCCUUGGAUCCUAGUUCACAAAUAUGUUGUCAGCUUGAUUCCGUGAGCAAUGUUAGAGCUUGAAGGAAAGUGUGAAGUGCAGAUGCACACUGGUAAUGCAUGUAAUUACAAGAAGUCAGGGAAGGAGCUGUGAAAAAUUUAACUGAGAUACAUGCUUUGAUCCAGUUGUGGACAUUAGGGAGAAGAAGAAAGAAGUGUUGUGUAUAUAGGCAACAACAUUUUUUAAGUUUGUAACUAACAGUGGUUCCUUUCACUCAUUUAACUGUUGAUAGAAGGUGAGACAUUGAGGACCCAACUGACCAUGUCUGCCGUGGAUUUUAUAGUGUGAAUAACCUUCUAUUGAGGAAGGUUACAAGUGUUUCAUACGGUGCUGAUGGUGGUGCGUUGUUACAAGUGCCCUGAGAUGGGUUGUGUAUGAGGCACUAAAAGGGGCAAAGUCGGAUGCCACAGCUGCUGUUCACGAGGACUUAAACAUAGGCAUAGCUAAGAAACAUUUGAUAGUUGCUCUCUGGUUGGUGGUUGUAAGGCCUGAUUGAAUUAAAAAAGAAAAAAAAUCAAGAACUAUCAGUCCAUUACGCUUUAAGGUUGAUUUGAUCUAAAAUCAACUAAAGUGGAUUUAGCCAUUUUCCUGGGGUUUGUCUCCAUGACCAUGCUCUCCUACCUCUCUAUCUUGUUCACCCUGUGCUUUUUCUACCCUUUUCUUUUUCUGUAUCGCUUAUAGUUCAUGAAAAUUUGAUCAGAACUGUUGAGCUGGUGAGCGGUAGAUAUCGAAACUCUUCCAGAUGAGUUAAUAAGCUGACAUUGAUCAGAAGCUUUUCCAAUGAUCAAGUUCUAGGUGAAAUAUUUUUUCAUGAUAGCUGCUCAAAUCUAUGUUGGGUUUGAUUCCAUUGAUGUUGUUGGAGUUGUCCUUGCUAGAUUUUAGAUACCUGAGAACUUGCAUGCAGAAAUGAUUGAGGUUGGAAGUGAUUCCAAGAGAGUUGUGCCAUCUAGUAACUUCUAGUCACUAACUGUCAUAGGUUGAAAUAGAGUUUGCCGAACUGUUCUUAACCAAAUAAUUCGAGAUAUACCAAACCGUACCAACAGCUAAUUGGUGUGGUUUAGACGUUCGAUUUAAAAAGCCAGCGAAAACGAAGUGAGAGAGAAAGAAAGAGAGGAAGAGAGAGAGAGAGAAGGGGAAGGAAAAGGCCGAUGGUGGCCCGCUGAAGCCUUCGUGAAACGAAAGAAGAGAGAGAGAAGGGAGAGAAGGAGGGAGGGGAAGGUGAUGGAGAGGCCGCCGAGUGGCUGCCAGACAAUCUAAAAUAGCCUACAGCUACUAUGGGUUCAAAAUACGGCUUCACUGGAUAUUGGCUUUUUUAAAAAAUACCUCCUGUUUGGAACCCACGGCGGCCACGGACUGUUUUAGGCCAUCCAGAGGUCCUCUUGCUGCCUUCCCCUCCCUCUUUUUCUCUCCCUUCUCCUCUCUCUGCUCUCAAUCUCUACUGACCUUCCUUUCCCUCCCUCCCUUCUCUCUUUAUCUCUCUCUUAUCCUUUCCGCUUUAUCCCUCAUUUCCAUGUUGGUUUAGGCCUGCUACAGUUUGGUAUGGAGGCGUACCUACUUGUACCUUUGGCCGAUUGGCACGGGAUCCGGUUCAGAGUGGGUGAUGGAUUGAAAUACUGCAGAUGUUAUUUCUGGUUAGGUAGACCUCCAAUCAUUUGUAGCAAACAAUAGUUCCUUUAGUAAUUUGCUCAUAAGUGGUGAAUCUCUCAAGGCGAUUUGGAUGUUCAGGGUGCAAUUACUGGUGCAGCAAGGGAAAUGCUGUGUUCAUCCUUUAGUUUGCACAUGUGCAGCAUUUAGCAAUGUGUCUAUAACGCCUUGAUUCCUUCACUGGUAAUUGCUGGGAUUUAGCAAACAAAAUUUGUUUGGAUUAUACCUUAGAAGAGCGAUUGGUGCUUUCCUCGACUUAAAAUGUGGUAAGCUGCCAGUUAAUGUUUGUCUAUAAUGGCUGCUGCUAAUUUUGUACACACUUGUAAUCUUUCUCUUCAAAAGCAGGGUGCCUUUUGCCUCUCUUUCAAACAUUUUUUUUUUAAAAAAAGAAAAAGCUGCUGCUAAUUUUGGGAGGGCCUGACUUUGCUCUAUGAUUCUGCCAUGUCUUAGUUGUUUUCCCCCUUGGUCUUGUACCGGCCACAAACUUGCUAUGGUUGGUUUGCGGUCUUCAGUGUUUCUUUUCUCUCUCCCUCUUGCCAGUAACCAAUCUUCCUUGCAAAUCUUCAUGAAUCCUCCUACCAGUAACCAAUCUAACGUGCAAAACUUCAUGAAUAUUAUAUAUAGUGGAGUGGUUUGACAGACAAGCACUUGCUAACACUUGGUCUUCAUGUCAGGCUCCGCACGAUCUUUUCUUUCAUUUCGAAAAACUAAGCAAGAAACCCUUGUGCAGCCUCAGGCUAGGGUGGGAUGUUGGAACCUGGUUGAAGUGUAUAUAGCAGCUGGGGGCAUGUGGAAGUCUUGGACCGACGUCAAAGAAGCGAUUUGAGGGAACAUUUUAGAGGACCUAGAUAGGAACCAAGAGCAAAUUAAAAUGUCCUCUUUAAGUGUUGCUUUCUUCGAGUGUCAUGCUGGCAAUCUAGAACUUCUGCUAUCUCAGAUGUGCUUCUUUAUCUUAAUCGUUUUUUCUGACUAAAAUAUGCCUAACAAUCUGGUAAGACGGCUGUUAUCUUAAUAUGCCUUCAGUUUCAAUUCUUUUUCAUUAGUAGCAAUUUUGCUUGCAGAAUGCUAUAAAAUUUCAGGCCAGUCCUACAAGAAAGUUCAAAUGCAUUGCAGUACAAUCUACUGAAACAGAAUGACCCACUGAAAUAUAAUUAUACAUAACAUACCCCAGUUUUCUGGAUACUCUGAAUAUUAUUCCAAAAUACUACAAUCUACUGAAACAGAAUUACCCACUGAAAUAUAAUUAUACAUAACAUAGCCCAGUUUUCUGGCUACUCUGAAUAUUAUUCCAAACUACUACAAUCUACUGAAACAGACUUACCCACUGAAAUAUAAUUAUACAUAACAGAGCCCAGUUUCGGGGGCUGAAUAUAAUUCCAAACUCUGAAUUCAUUUCAGAUCAUAGCAUAACCAGUUCUCCUUUAUAGCCAUUCAUUUAAUUCCAGAAUUCCAUCCAUUUCUUCUACACAGAUGGAUUCUCAUAGUUCUGAUGGAGCUUUCUCCUCUGGGACGCAGAAAAUAGCUGGCCUCACUGGUUCCGUAAUCUCCACCGUCCCCUCCAGCAUCUUUGCCACCUUCCCCAUGGAAGGCCUCAU